CAGGUAGUUGGUGAGGUAACGGCUCACCAAGCCUACGACGGGUAGCCGGCCUGAGAGGGUGACCGGCCACACUGGGACUGAGACACGGCCCAGACUCCUACGGGAGGCAGCAGUGGGGAAUAUUGCACAAUGGGCGCAAGCCUGAUGCAGCAACGCCGCGUGAGGGAUGACGGCCUUCGGGUUGUAAACCUCUUUUAGUAGGGAAGAAGCGAAAGUGACGGUACCUGCAGAAAAAGCACCGGCUAACUACGUGCCAGCAGCCGCGGUAAUACGUAGGGUGCGAGCGUUGUCCGGAAUUAUUGGGCGUAAAGAGCUCGUAGGCGGUCUGUCGCGUCUGCUGUGAAAUCCCGAGGCUCAACCUCGGGCCUGCAGUGGGUACGGGCAGACUAGAGUGCGGUAGGGGAGAUUGGAAUUCCUGGUGUAGCGGUGGAAUGCGCAGAUAUCAGGAGGAACACCGAUGGCGAAGGCAGAUCUCUGGGCCGUAACUGACGCUGAGGAGCGAAAGCGUGGGGAGCGAACAGGAUUAGAUACCCUGGUAGUCCACGCCGU
Molecule: ribosomal RNA, 549 nt
Filed under: Cryocola sp.
Lineage: Bacteria; Bacillati; Actinomycetota; Actinomycetes; Micrococcales; Microbacteriaceae
Description: bacterial SSU rRNA
Rfam family: Bacterial small subunit ribosomal RNA
Source: RNAcentral